UUGCCAGACUCCUACGGGAGGCAGCAGUGAGGAAUAUUGGUCAAUGGGCGGGAGCCUGAACCAGCCAUGCCGCGUGAAGGCGAGUGCCCUACGGGCGUUAAACUUCUUUUGUGCGGGAGCAAUAAGGGCCACGCGUGGCCCGAUGAGAGUGCCGCACGAAUAAGCAUCGGCUAACUCCGUGCCAGCAGCCGCGGUAAUACGGAGGAUGCGAGCGUUAUCCGGAUUUAUUGGGUUUAAAGGGUGCGUAGGCGGAAUAUCAAGUCAGCGGUAAAAAUUCGGGGCUCAACCCCGUCGUGCCGUUGAAACUGAUGUUCUUGAGUGGGCGAGAAGUAUGCGGAAUGCGUGGUGUAGCGGUGAAAUGCAUAGAUAUCACGCAGAACUCCGAUUGCGAAGGCAGCAUACCGGCGCCCAACUGACGCUGAAGCACGAAAGCGUGGGUAUCGAACAGGAUUAGAUACCCCGGUACCA
Molecule: ribosomal RNA, 468 nt
Filed under: uncultured bacterium
Lineage: Bacteria
Description: bacterial SSU rRNA
Rfam family: Bacterial small subunit ribosomal RNA
Source: RNAcentral